Molecule: ribosomal RNA, 322 nt
Filed under: Conothele sp. MYG552
Lineage: Eukaryota; Metazoa; Arthropoda; Arachnida; Araneae; Ctenizidae
Description: partial 12S ribosomal RNA
Source: RNAcentral
UCUAGAGGAAAAAAGGUAAUACUAUUUAAGGAAACCUUUAUUAUCUGGCGGCCUUUAUUCUCUUUAGAGGAACUCGUCUCAUAAUCGUCAUUCCUCGUUAUUUCUAACUUUUUUUAAUCUCUUAUACCGCCGUCUCAAGAUUCAUUUUAUUUUUUCUAAAAAAAGAAAUUUUAUCAAGUCAGGUAAAGGUGAGGAAUAUAAAAAAGGGAAGAUAAGUUACUUAUAAAAAUUAUUUUUGGAUAUAUUCUUAACAUUAAUAUUGAAAAAGGAUUUAAUAGUAAUUUUUUAUUAUUAUUUUAUUAUGAAAUAGUAAAAUAGGUGC